GGUACGCGAGCUGGGUUUAGAACGUCGUGAGACAGUUCGGUCCCUAUCCUCUGUGGCCGUAGGAGAUUUGAGGAAAGCUGUCCGUAGUACGAGAGGACCCGGAUGGACGCAGCUCUCGUGUGCCAGUUGUUCCGCCAGGAGCACGGCUGGUUGGCGACCUGCGGAAGGGAUAAGCGCUGAAAGCAUCUAAGCGCGAAGCCUGUUCCAAGAUGAGAUCUCCCACUGGUACAACCAGGUAAGGCCCGUGGCAGAUAACCACGUUGAUAGGCCGGAUGUGUACGCACAGCAAUGUGUUCAGCAGACCGGUACUAAUCGGCCGAGGGCUUGGUAUC
This 332-nucleotide ribosomal RNA is filed under the name Acidimicrobiaceae bacterium. RNAcentral describes it as "partial 23S ribosomal RNA". It matches the Rfam family "Bacterial large subunit ribosomal RNA", at positions 2595 to 2925 of the family's 2925-position model. Lineage: Bacteria; Bacillati; Actinomycetota; Acidimicrobiia; Acidimicrobiales; Acidimicrobiaceae. The record is from RNAcentral.